RNAcentral lists this ribosomal RNA (371 nucleotides) under uncultured organism. RNAcentral describes it as "bacterial SSU rRNA". It matches the Rfam family "Bacterial small subunit ribosomal RNA", at positions 526 to 896 of the family's 1533-position model. The record is from RNAcentral.
CAGAGGUGGCAAGCGUUGUUCGGAAUUACUGGGCGUAAGGGCGCGUAGGCGGCCUGCUAAGUCAGACGUGAAAUCCCCCGGCUUAACCUGGGAACUGCGUCUGAUACUGGAAGGCUUGAGUGCGGGAGAGGGAUGUGGAAUUCCAGGUGUAGCGGUGAAAUGCGUAGAUAUCUGGAGGAACACCGGUGGCGAAGGCGGCAUCCUGGACCGACACUGACGCUGAGGCGCGAAAGCUAGGGUAGCAAACGGGAUUAGAUACCCCGGUAGUCCUAGCCCUAAACGAUGAGUGCUUGGUGCGGCGGGUAUCGAUCCCUGCCGUGCCGAAGCUAACGCAUUAAGCACUCCGCCUGGGGAGUACGGUCGCAAGGCUG